GAGAGGGCGGGUUUUUUUUUAAAAAUUCAUUAAAUGGAAAAAUCCCCAAAUGUUAUUUCUGGUAGAUUUCUUAGAAAUUAGGGCAGAGGAGCAUGCUCGGUCUUCCCACCCUCAUCAGGCAUCAGUGACAGCUACUUGAACAACUGAGCCCCUAAUGUGCAUGCUCCCCCACCCCUGAGCCAGUCUCUGCCCUCCUAUUCCCUCCUCUUGCUGCCAGGAUGCUGAUCGCCACCAACUGGCCUCUGGGUGAUUUGGCCAAUGGAAGGCACCGGUAGAGGGAAGAGAGUGAGGUUAGGAUAUUUCUUCCUGCUGUCUCCCUGCUUCCCUGCAGAGAGUGUGAAGAAAUGACCCUGAAAAGCCUCUGGCAGAGGAUUCUUCUUUCAGGAUGGUGCCUCCUGCUCAGCGGCCCAUCCUCCUCCCCUGGGCUCAAGCUCUCACUCCAGUAACACUCCUUCCUCCUUCUCCAUCUUGAGGGGGAGGUUUGCCAGUCAGUGGGUUCUAAGCAUAUCUCGCUGAUUCCCCCCUGACCCUGCCAACACCUCUGUAGGUUGUCCCUUCAUUAAAAUCUCUCCAUUUGAACUAUCUGAGUUUAAUUCCAUUUCCUCCUGGCAUCUCAGUGAUACACGGUAUCAGUACAAAAAUCUCACUUCACCUUCAGAACCAACAGAUUUGAGACAUUUUAUCCUCUGUGGAACCAUUAGUUAUUUCGUCAUUGGUUGUAUCAGAAAAAAAAAUCAGGAAUGCAAACCCUUCUUUAUUACAAAUUCAGAUUUGCAUAUUACCAAUGUUAUAUAUUUUAAACAAAGCUAUUCAUCAUAAGUUUUAAAAAUUAACUACUGGAAUAGUUAAUGAAUCUGAAUGUAAUUAUGUAGCUUUCAUAAUAUUAAAGUAGAAAUACUAAAAGAAGUAUUUCUUAAAGAAGCAAAUGCUCAAUCUCCAAGUAAAUUUUAUUCUAUGCUCUUCCAGUAUAAGAAUAUGUUAAUAUCUUGAGAAAUGUCGUAUUAUUUUGUGAACUCAUAAAGCUAUUUUGAGUUUUUGUAAAAUGAAAACCUUACCAAAAUGUGUUUUAUUAUUGGAAAGCUUGACCAUUACUGCUAUUUAAUUUUUUGAGCAUGUAAACUUUAUUUGUGCAUGUUUUCAACAAAGAAGGAUUUUAUUGUUAUUACAUAAAAUAGGUGAUUUCUAGAUUUUAAAAUCACAAAUUGAAAGCAAGGCACAAUAAAGUGUAUUUCAAGAUAUAGGUACUUAGGAGGCAUCCUUUUAGUCAUCCGUUCAGUGUCGCCAUCUAUUUUACACCUACUGUCUACUAUUGUUUGAGGUCCUUGCCAAAGUAUUGCAGGCUCGUUAGGAAACAUAAAACAAUUAGAAAGUAAUCUUUGACAAGUAAGCUAUCUAUAAAUGGCAGUGAGGGGUAGAAUACAUUCAAUGAAAAUAUCUAUUUAAUCCUAGUAUUUACUGGUCUAGAAGAAUAGGCUGAGUAAAUUAGUAUUUCUCUGGCUGUGGUGGUAACACAUUGCAUGCUAUAACAGUUUUAAGUAAUUACAGGUACAUUGAAAUUUAUCUAUGGCUUUGUCAUCAUAUUCUAAAAUGUCAUGAGUACUUUUUUCUGACCUCAAUUACUAUGAAAUUGGUUUCCAAUGUUUAAUUAACCAAGAAUAUCAAGAUUAUAGUGUAUUAUUAAGGUGAGACUUCUGUAGCCUUUUCAAUAAAGACCAGAAUUUUGGAGUGCCUUGAACCUUAAUCAUUGAUCCUUAAUUCUUAUUAAGUCAACUGCCUACCUUUUAAAGACUGAGGCCCAGGAAGAGUAAGUUUCUCAGACAAUGCAUACAGUACAGUGCUUCUUGGGUAUUGGCUCUAAGACUAGAUGCAAAGAAGGGCUAAAAUCCCAUUUCAUUGCUCACUAGGUGAGAACCCUUUGUUAAGCUGUGUAACCUCUGUGCAUAGUUUCCUCAUCAGCAAAGUCAGAAAAAGUAUGUACCUGAAGGACUGAUUGUAAGGCUGGGAUGAGAGAAUCCAUGUGAUCAGCCCUCACCAACAGGUGCUGCCCAGUUCAUGAGUGCUGCUGUUGUCCUGCCCAAGUACCCAGCUUGUAGAGUGCUGGAGUUAGAGUCCCAGGGGUGUUCUCCACAGCUGCAUGCUUGAUCCAGGCCUAUCAGCUUUUUCACACAAGUGACACGAAUUCUGGGCAAUUAAAAGGACACGAAUUUCAAGGCAUUUACGAAGAGAAUGUGUUUUCUAAUAGCUGUGCCUUUUACCAAGUUGUGGUUUUUGAGAAAAGCAUUGUCGAUUUCAGACCUCCACCUUCAGAAACUGCACUGUCUUUGAAUAUUAGCAAGUAAUGGAACAUGGGCCAAGGGUGAACCAUGACGAAUUCGUGUUCCAGCAGCCCUGCUUCUUUAGAAUUGACAGUCUGGCUUCUUGGUUAAUUCACAGCAUCUGAGGAAUACAUCAGAAGAGGGUGAUACUGUGGCAUGAUAGUACCAGGAUUCCAAGUUCAUUCCAGCCCUCCAUGGGGGAGCAGAAGGUUCCACCCACGGGAUGACUUCAGAUGAACGCUUUUGAUGCUGGGAGCAGCAGCCACCCAUAGCUCCAGAUACCUGUUCCUCUGACUCUGCCUCCUUGGAUUUUACAGUUACCAACAGUUCAUGAUGAUCUUCAGAAAUGUUCACAGUUUUAGAGGAGCCACAUACUUGAAUGUUUAAAGAAAGCAAUAUUUUACAAAACACAAGGAUGAUCGAAGAGAGCCACAGGAGGAUCUAGCAGCUCUUUGUCGGGAAAUGAAGAUUCAUAGACUAUCCGUUGGGGAACCCUCAUCCUCACAGGAUGUAUGUUCAUGGUGGUGUCUUCGAGUUUGUGCCAUUGUGAAGCAUUCUGUCAGCAAGCAUCUGAACACUUCCAAAAAGGGGCAAUAUUUAGGAGAAAUCGCUCGGCCUGAGUUAGAACAAAUGCAGCUGCUGGUGUCUCUUGGUGCCUGGGAGCCCUAGAGUGUCAGAGGGAGGAGCGUGCACACUGGAACCAGCAGCCUGGUGCUGCGUCUCAGCUCUGUCGCUAACUGGCUAUGCACCUCUGGGCAUGGCACUUAACCCUUCUGAGCCCCAGCCUGCCAUCUGUAAAAAGGGCUUGAUGCGAGGAUUGAAUGAGAUCAUGCAGGAAACACAAUGUCUGGCACUUGGAAGCAUCCACCAUAAACAGCCAAGGCAGUAAAUGGCCCAUCUGGGUUUGGUCCGUGCAGAGUUUACCCUCUGCCCUGGCGGCUCCAGGAAAUACUGCCAUGUGGCUCCUAUUGCCUCAACCACAUCCGACCUGUUCCUGACAGCUCCCAACAUCUCCAGCUCCUUUGCUGGUGCUCCAGGCACCUCCAAACGUGGCGAGCCCCUCUCCUCUGCCCUCUUGUGACAGCUGACCUGGCAGGAGUGGGACCAAGACAUCCAAGGCGGCUCCUUCCCACCUGCAUGGGCACUUUCCUUAGGACAUCCUUGCCCCCAGCACCACCUUGGGCCAGCAAGCCGUAUGGAAAUGGAUGCAGAGGCACCACUGUUUGCUGACAGUUAUACCCUGUCCUUAAGGUCACCCUUGGCGAUCUGUCACCAGGAGCAGACAAACCCGCACCGCAUCCAUCCCAUCAGAGCUUGUUUCUACCUGCAUCUGUCAUCGCUGAUCGCAUUUGAAUGGGUUUAGUCUCUAUUUUAAAUAAAAGAUUUAUGCCUUA
This is a long non-coding RNA of Nomascus leucogenys (northern white-cheeked gibbon), 3709 nucleotides long. RefSeq lists it as uncharacterized. The record is from RefSeq and is a predicted model, not a curated record. NCBI's taxonomy places the organism in Eukaryota, Metazoa, Chordata, Mammalia, Primates, Hylobatidae. The transcript has 5 exons.